UACCAGCUCUCCGAGUGGUAGGGAUGAUUAUUGGGCUUAAAGCGUCCGUAGCCGGCUUAGCAAGUCUCCUGUUAAAUUCAGCGACCUAAUCGUUGAGCCGCGGGAGAUACUACUAGGCUAGGAGGCGGGAGAGGCCGACGGUAUUCUCGGGGUAGGGGUGAAAUCCUAUAAUCCCGGGAGGACCACCAGUGGCGAAGGCUGUCGGCUAGAACGCGCUCGACGGUGAGGGACGAAAGCUGGGGGAGCGAACCGGAUUAGAUACCCGGGUAGUCCCAGCUGUAAACGAUGCGGGCUAGGUGUUGGGGUGGCUACGAGCCACUUCAGUGCCGCAGGGAAGCCAUUAAGCCCGCCGCCUGGGGAGUACGGCCGCAAGGCUGAAACUUAAAGGAAUUGGCGGGGGAGCACCACAAGGCGUGAAGCUUGCGGUUCAAUUGGAGUCAACGCCGGGAACCUUACCGGGGGCGACAGCAGAAUGAAGGCCAGAUUAAAGGUCUUGCUAGACAAGCUGAGAGGAGGUGCAUGGCCGUCGCCAGUUCGUGCCGUGAGGUGUCCUGUUAAGUCAGGCAACGAUCGAGACCCGCACCCUUAGUUGCUACCGAGGAAGUUUUCCAAGGGGCACUCUAAGGGGACUGCCGCCGACAAGGCGGAGGAAGGAGCGGGCCACGGCAGGUCAGUAUGCCCCGAAUCCCCCGGGCCACACGCGAGCUGCAAUGGCAGGGACAAUGAGUUCCAACCUUGAAAAAGGAAGGCAAUCCCCAAACCCUGCCUCAGUUGGGAUCGAGGGCUGCAACCCGCCCUCGUGAGCAUGGAAUGCCUAGUAAUCGCGCGUCAUCACCGCGCGGUGAAUACGUCCCCGCUCCU
This 861-nucleotide ribosomal RNA is filed under the name uncultured archaeon. RNAcentral describes it as "SSU rRNA". It matches the Rfam family "Archaeal small subunit ribosomal RNA", at positions 474 to 1337 of the family's 1478-position model. The record is from RNAcentral.